RNAcentral lists this ribosomal RNA (441 nucleotides) under uncultured bacterium. RNAcentral describes it as "bacterial SSU rRNA". It matches the Rfam family "Bacterial small subunit ribosomal RNA", at positions 338 to 795 of the family's 1533-position model. The record is from RNAcentral.
CCUACGGGGGGCUGCAGUGAGGAAUUUUCCGCAAUGGGCGCAAGCCUGACGGAGCAACGCCGCGUGCAGGAGGACGCUUUUCGGAGUGUAAACUGCUUUUCUGUGGGACGAGAAUGGACGGUACCACAGGAAGAAGCCCCGGCUAACUACGUGCCAGCAGCCGCGGUAAUACGUAGGGGGCGAGCGUUGUCCGGAGUUACUGGGCGUAAAGGGCACGCAGGCGGUUCUGCGCGUUUCGCGUGACAGCGGGUGGCUUACCUGCCCGAGGAUGCGAAAGACGGUAGGACUUGAGGGCCAGAGAGGGACACGGAAUUCCGGGUGGAGUGGUGAAAUGCGUAGAGAUCCGGAGGAACACCGAGGGCGAAGGCAGUGUCCUGGCUGGUGACUGACGCUGAGGUGCGAAAGCCAGGGGAGCGAACGGGAUUAGAUACCCCGGUAGUC